UUGGCAUGCGAAUUAGAGAGCUAAUGUCAUUAAGCGGCAUUGAGCUUAGGUUGUGGUGUACCUAACGGAUAGGGCCAUUGAGAGAAUUGGAACAUGCUUGAACAUCGAAAUGUCUAAGUGUCAUAAAAGGGCACUAGACUUAGUGAAUGUUGGGACUUCACAUUGUGACCUAGAGCUAGAUCAUUGAGAUGCUAGUGACUAUUACCAUGUUAGAAACAUGAGGAUUGGG
This 229-nucleotide long non-coding RNA is filed under the name Ananas comosus (pineapple). RNAcentral's name for it is "long non-coding RNA (ACOM_LNC036204)". Lineage: Eukaryota; Viridiplantae; Streptophyta; Magnoliopsida; Poales; Bromeliaceae. The record is from RNAcentral.